GAGUUUGAUCCUGGCUCAGGAUGAACGCUGGCGGCGUGCCUAAUACAUGCAAGUCGAGCGAACGGACGAGAAGCUUGCUUCUCUGAUGUUAGCGGCGGACGGGUGAGUAACACGUGGAUAACCCACCUAUAAGACUGGGAUAACUUCGGGAAACCGGAGCUAAUACCGGAUGAUAUUUUGAACCGCAUGGUUCAAAAGUGAAAGACGGUCUUGCUGUCACUUAUAGAUGGAUCCGCGCUGCAUUAGCUAGUUGGUAAGGUAACGGCUUACCAAGGCAGCGAUGCAUAGCCGACCUGAGAGGGUGAUCGGCCACACUGGAACUGAGACACGGUCCAGACUCCUACGGGAGGCAGCAGUAGGGAAUCUUCCGCAAUGGGCGAAAGCCUGACGGAGCAACGCCGCGUGAGUGAUGAAGGUCUUCGGAUCGUAAAACUCUGUUAUUAGGGAAGAACAUAUGUGUAAGUAACUGUGCACAUCUUGACGGUACCUAAUCAGAAAGCCACGGCU
This 507-nucleotide ribosomal RNA is filed under the name uncultured microorganism. Its description in RNAcentral is "bacterial SSU rRNA". It matches the Rfam family "Bacterial small subunit ribosomal RNA", at positions 9 to 498 of the family's 1533-position model. The record is from RNAcentral.